AACGAACGCUGGCGGCAGGCUUAACACAUGCAAGUCGAACGCUCGUAGCAAUACGGGAGUGGCGGACGGGUGAGUAACGCGUGGGAACGUGCCCUGAGGUACGGAAUAACUGCGGGAAACUGCAGCUAAUACCGUAUGAGCCCCGCAAGGGGAAAGAUUUAUCGCCUUGGAGCGGCCCGCGUCGGAUUAGCUAGUUGGUGGGGUAACGGCCUACCAAGGCUUCGAUCCGUAGCUGGUCUGAGAGGACGAUCAGCCACACUGGGACUGAGACACGGCCCAGACUCCUACGGGAGGCAGCAGUGGGGAAUCUUGCGCAAUGGGGGCAACCCUGACGCAGCCAUGCCGCGUGAAUGAUGAAGGCCUUAGGGUUGUAAAGUUCUUUUGCCCGUGACGAUGAUGACGGUAACGGGAGAAUAAGCUCCGGCUAACUUCGUG
Molecule: ribosomal RNA, 435 nt
Filed under: uncultured bacterium
Lineage: Bacteria
Description: bacterial SSU rRNA
Rfam family: Bacterial small subunit ribosomal RNA
Source: RNAcentral